AGGGGAAUAUUGCACAAUGGGCGGAAGCCUGAUGCAGCAACGCCGCGUGCGGGAUGACGGCCUUCGGGUUGUAAACCGCUUUCGCCUGCGACGAAGCGUGAGUGACGGUAAUGGGUAAAGAAGCACCGGCUAACUACGUGCCAGCAGCCGCGGUGAUACGUAGGGUGCGAGCGUUGUCCGGAUUUAUUGGGCGUAAAGGGCUCGUAGGUGGUUGAUCGCGUCGGAAGUGUAAUCUUGGGGCUUAACCCUGAGCGUGCUUUCGAUACGGGUUGACUUGAGGAAGGUAGGGGAGAAUGGAAUUCCUGGUGGAGCGGUGGAAUGCGCAGAUAUCAGGAGGAACACCAGUGGCGAAGGCGGUUCUCUGGGCCUUUCCUGACGCUGAGGAGCGAAAGCGUGGGGAGCGAACA
This 407-nucleotide ribosomal RNA is filed under the name uncultured bacterium. RNAcentral's name for it is "partial 16S ribosomal RNA". It matches the Rfam family "Bacterial small subunit ribosomal RNA", at positions 355 to 774 of the family's 1533-position model. The record is from RNAcentral.